AUCCCUGAGGAGCGCUGCGACGAACGCCGGAUACGGCACGCCAGGCUCAGGAAUCCUUGUCCGGGCGCCGCAUGCGGCGCCUUUGCAACGGCGCUCACCUUAG
RNAcentral lists this non-coding RNA (103 nucleotides) under Bordetella avium. Its description in RNAcentral is "SAH sequence". It matches the Rfam family "SAH (S-adenosyl-L-homocysteine) riboswitch aptamer". Lineage: Bacteria; Pseudomonadati; Pseudomonadota; Betaproteobacteria; Burkholderiales; Alcaligenaceae. The record is from RNAcentral. RNAcentral also lists the same sequence under 1 other name.